This 1052-nucleotide ribosomal RNA is filed under the name uncultured organism. Its description in RNAcentral is "bacterial SSU rRNA". It matches the Rfam family "Bacterial small subunit ribosomal RNA", at positions 148 to 1230 of the family's 1533-position model. The record is from RNAcentral.
CACUGGAAACGGUGGCUAAUACCGGAUAAGCCUUUGGGUAAAAAAUUUAUUGCCCCAAGAGGAGCUCGCGUCUGAUUAGCUAGUUGGUGAGGUAAGAGCUCACCAAGGCAGCGAUCAGUAGCUGGUCUGAGAGGACGAUCAGCCACACUGGGACUGAGACACGGCCCAGACUCCUACGGGAGGCAGCAGUGGGGAAUUUUCCGCAAUGGGCGAAAGCCUGACGGAGCAAGACCGCGUGAGGGAGGAAGGCUCUUGGGUUGUAAACCUCUUUUCUCAGGGAAGAAGCUCUGACGGUACCUGAGGAAUCAGCCUCGGCUAACUCCGUGCCAGCAGCCGCGGUAAUACGGAGGAGGCAAGCGUUAUCCGGAAUUAUUGGGCGUAAAGCGUCCGCAGGGUGGCGAUUCAAGUCUGCUGUCAAAGCACGGGGCUUAACUCCGUUAAGGCAGUGGAAACUGAAUAGCUAGAGUGCCGUAGGGGUAGAGGGAAUUCCCGGUGUUGCGGUGAAAUGCGUAGAGAUCGGGAAGAACAUCGGUGGCGAAAGCGCUCUACUGGGACGGCAACUGACACUCAGGGACGAAAGCUAGGGGACCGAAUGGGAUUAGAUACCCCAGUAGUCCUAGCUGUAAACGAUGGAUACUAGGUGUAGCUUGUAUCGACCCGAGCUGUGCCGUAGCUCACGCGUUAAGUAUCCCGCCUGGGGAGUACGCACGCAAGUGUGAAACAUCAAAGGAAUUGACGGGGGCCCGCACAAGCGGUGGAGUAUGUGAUUUAAUUCGAUGCAACGCGAAGUACCUUACCAGGGCAUGACAUGUCCGGAAUCCCGGUGUAAGCUGGGAGUGCCUUCGGGAGCCGGAACACAGGUGGUGCAUGGCUCUCGUCAGCUCGUGUCGUGAGAUGUUGGGUUAAGUCCCGCAGCGAGCGCAUCCUUCUGUCUUUAGUUGCCAGCAUUUAGUUGGGCACUCUAGAGAGACUGCCGCUGACAAACCGGAGGAAGGUGGGGAUGACGUCAAGUCAGCAUGCCCCUUACGCUCUGGGCGACACACGUACUACAA